RNAcentral lists this unclassified non-coding RNA (256 nucleotides) under plant metagenome. Its description in RNAcentral is "partial contains small subunit ribosomal RNA, internal transcribed spacer 1, and 5.8S ribosomal RNA". The stretch from base 1 to 54 matches the Rfam family "Eukaryotic small subunit ribosomal RNA", at positions 1778 to 1831 of the family's 1831-position model. The record is from RNAcentral.
AGAAGUAAAAGUCGUAACAAGGUUUCCGUAGGUGAACCUGCGGAAGGAUCAUUAAAGUUAUAGUCCCCCGGCCCUCUGGGCUGGGGUCUUCUAUACCACCCUUUGUUUAUUACACCUUUGUUGCUUUGGCAGGCCUGCCCUCGGGCUGCUGGCUCCGGCCGGCUCGCGUCUGCCAGAGGACCUAAACUCUGUUUGUAUAUGAAGUCUGAGUACUAUAUAAUAGUUAAAACUUUCAACAACGGAUCUCUUGGUUCUG